This 63-nucleotide transfer RNA is filed under the name Camelus bactrianus (Bactrian camel). It matches the Rfam family "tRNA", at positions 5 to 66 of the family's 71-position model. From Rfam's summary of the family: Transfer RNA (tRNA) molecules are approximately 80 nucleotides in length. Their secondary structure includes four short double-helical elements and three loops (D, anti-codon, and T loops). Lineage: Eukaryota; Metazoa; Chordata; Mammalia; Artiodactyla; Camelidae. The record is from Rfam by way of RNAcentral. RNAcentral also lists the same sequence under 2 other names.
GUGUAGCUCAGUGGUAGAGCGCAUGCUUAGUGUGCAUAAGACACUGGGUUCAAUUCUCAGUAC